ACAUUUCCCUAUCCCCUAUAUCCAAAUCUUUCCCUUGGGAGUAAGAGCUUUAUAGUUGAAAUCCCAUCUCGAGGAGGGGUUUUAGUCGGUAGGCGCCACGGCGAAUCCGACACUACCCCCAGUGGGUGUCUUUUGAAGAUUUACCCUCCUCGAGGCUA
Molecule: non-coding RNA, 158 nt
Organism: Agrilus planipennis (emerald ash borer)
Lineage: Eukaryota; Metazoa; Arthropoda; Insecta; Coleoptera; Buprestidae
Source: Rfam